Grammomys surdaster is the source of this 106-nucleotide small nuclear RNA. NCBI's taxonomy places the organism in Eukaryota, Metazoa, Chordata, Mammalia, Rodentia, Muridae. The record is from RefSeq and is a predicted model, not a curated record.
GUGCUCGCUUUGGCAGCACAUAUACUAAAAUGGAAUGAUACAGAGAAGAUUAGCAUGGCCCCUGCACAAGGAUGACAUGUAAAUUUGUGAAGCAUUCCAUAUUUUU